This 468-nucleotide ribosomal RNA is filed under the name uncultured bacterium. RNAcentral's name for it is "partial 16S ribosomal RNA". It matches the Rfam family "Bacterial small subunit ribosomal RNA", at positions 28 to 507 of the family's 1533-position model. The record is from RNAcentral.
GACGAACGCUGGCGGCGUGCUUAACACAUGCAAGUCGAACGGAAAGGCCCUGCUUUUGUGGGGUGCUCGAGUGGCGAACGGCUGAGUAACACGUGAGUAACCUGCCCUUGACUUUGGGAUAACUUCAGGAAACUGGGGCUAAUACCGGAUAGGAGCUCCUGCUGCAUGGUGGGGGUUGGAAAGUUUCGGCGGUUGGGGAUGGACUCGCGGCUUAUCAGCUUGUUGGUGGGGUAGUGGCUUACCAAGGCUUCGACGGGUAGCCGGCCUGAGAGGGUGACCGGCCACAUUGGGACUGAGAUACGGCCCAGACUCCUACGGGAGGCAGCAGUGGGGAAUAUUGCACAAUGGGCGGAAGCCUGAUGCAGCAACGCCGCGUGCGGGAUGACGGCCUUCGGGUUGUAAACCGCUUUCGCCUGUGACGAAGCGUGAGUGACGGUAAUGGGUAAAGAAGCACCGGCUAACUACGUG